Non-coding RNA from Mus musculus (house mouse), 67 nucleotides. The record is from Rfam. Lineage: Eukaryota; Metazoa; Chordata; Mammalia; Rodentia; Muridae.
GCGGUACUCAAACUAUGGGGGCACUUUUUUUUUUCUUUAAAAAGUGCCGCCUAGUUUUAAGCCCCGC